This 429-nucleotide ribosomal RNA is filed under the name uncultured archaeon. RNAcentral's name for it is "bacterial SSU rRNA". It matches the Rfam family "Archaeal small subunit ribosomal RNA", at positions 146 to 576 of the family's 1478-position model. The record is from RNAcentral.
UUAAUACUGGAUAGAUCAAAGAUACUGGAAUGUUCUCUGGUCCAAAACUCCGGUGCCCAAGGAUGGGUCUGCGGCCUAUCAGGUUGUAGUGGGUGUAACGUACCUACUAGCCUACGACGGGUAAGGGUUGUGAGAGCAAGAUCCCUGAGAUGGAUUCUGAGACAUGAAUCCAGGCCCUACGGGGUGCAACAGGCGCGAAAACUUUACACUGCGGGAAACCGCGAUAAGGGGACCCCGAGUGCCAGCACCUAGUGCUGGCUGUCCCGCUGUCCAAACAACAGUGGUUAGCAAGGGCCGGGCAAGACCGGUGCCAGCCGCCGCGGUAACACCGGCGGCCCGAGUGGUAGCCGCUAUUAUUGGGUUUAAAGGGUCCGUAGCCGGCUUAUUAAGUCUCUUGGGAAAUCUGGCGGCUCAAUCGUCAGGCGUUCA